AAAGAUUAAGCCAUGCAUGUCUAAGUACAUGUGUAAUUUAACACGAAACCGCGUAUGGCUCAUUAUAACAGCUAAAAUUUACUUGAUUUUGACUUUUAUCCUACAUGGAUAACUGUGGUAAUUCUGGAGCUAAUACAUGCAUAAAAGAUAAAACAUUUAUUUGUUUUAUUGCGUAUAUUAGUAUUAAAACCAAGCAUUCUUUGGAAUGUUUUGUGUUGAACCUGAAUAUAUCAUGCUGAUCGUAUGGUCUUGUACCGACGACAUGUCAUUCAAGUGUCUGAUCUAUCAACUUUCUAUAUAAGUAUAUAGUACUUAUAUGGUUCUGACGGAUAACGGGGUAUUAGGGUACGACUCCGGAGAAAAUGCCUGAGAAACGGCGUUUACAUCCAAGGAAGGCAGCAGGCGCGAAAAUUACCCACUCUCAGUACGAGGAGGUAGUGACGAGAAAUGACAAGGUCUACUCCUUCGGGGAUGGAUCAUUGGAAUGGUUUGAUUUUAAAAUCAUUAAAGAGUAUCAAUGAGAGGGCAAGUCUGGUGCCAGCAGCCGCGGUAAUUCCAGCUCUCAUACUGCAUUGAAUUGUUGUUGCGGUUAAAAAGCUCGUAGUUGGAUCUGUACAUGAUAGGUUAGUUCAUCCUUUGGAUUGUAACUAAUACUAAAUGUUUUUUAUUAGAUUUUUUUUAUUCCUUACGGGAUAAAAAUGUCUAGUGAGUUUACUUUGAAUAAAUCAGAGUGCUCAAAACAGGCGUAAGCUUGUAUGGUUUUGCAUGGAAUAAUAGAACAUGACUAUGAUUUAUGUUUUAUUGGUUUUACUACCAUUGUAAUGAUUAAAAGGGACAAACGGGGGCAUCCGUAUCGCAGGGCGAGAGGUGAAAUUCGUGGACCCUUGCGAGACGAACUACAGCGAAAGCAUUUGCCAAGAAUG
This 923-nucleotide ribosomal RNA is filed under the name Panagrolaimus subelongatus. Its description in RNAcentral is "SSU rRNA". It matches the Rfam family "Eukaryotic small subunit ribosomal RNA", at positions 39 to 966 of the family's 1831-position model. Lineage: Eukaryota; Metazoa; Nematoda; Chromadorea; Rhabditida; Panagrolaimidae. The record is from RNAcentral.